ACAUGAACAACGCAAAACCCAACAUUCCUUCUAAAAGCAUUCCUACGAGGUUGCUCUACAGCAAUACCAUGAUGUAUGGAAAUCGUCUAUCGGAAUGGAGAGUGACCACAUGGUAGUCGAUCUUGGGUGCGAUGUCAGUCAGGUCCCUCCGGGGCUGUGACCGAGAUUGCAAUGAUUGACCACACAA
Small RNA from Cladophialophora yegresii CBS 114405, 187 nucleotides. It matches the Rfam family "A. fumigatus sRNA Afu_182". NCBI's taxonomy places the organism in Eukaryota, Fungi, Ascomycota, Eurotiomycetes, Chaetothyriales, Herpotrichiellaceae. The record is from Rfam.